Molecule: ribosomal RNA, 513 nt
Filed under: Candida albicans
Lineage: Eukaryota; Fungi; Ascomycota; Pichiomycetes; Serinales; Debaryomycetaceae
Description: eukaryotic LSU rRNA
Rfam family: 5.8S ribosomal RNA (bases 146-299)
Source: RNAcentral
GUGGCAUCUGAGUGCUUAUUGCACCACAUGUGUUUUUCUUUGAAACAAACUUGCUUUGGCGGUGGGCCCAGCCUGCCGCCAGAGGUCUAAACUUACAACCAAUUUUUUAUCAACUUGUCACACCAGAUUAUUACUUAAUAGUCAAAACUUUCAACAACGGAUCUCUUGGUUCUCGCAUCGAUGAAGAACGCAGCGAAAUGCGAUACGUAAUAUGAAUUGCAGAUAUUCGUGAAUCAUCGAAUCUUUGAACGCACAUUGCGCCCUCUGGUAUUCCGGAGGGCAUGCCUGUUUGAGCGUCGUUUCUCCCUCAAACCGCUGGGUUUGGUGUUGAGCAAUACGACUUGGGUUUGCUUGAAAGACGGUAGUGGUAAGGCGGGAUCGCUUUGACAAUGGCUUAGGUCUAACCAAAAACAUUGCUUGCGGCGGUAACGUCCACCACGUAUAUCUUCAAACUUUGACCUCAAAUCAGGUAGGACUACCCGCUGAACUUAAGCAUAUCAAUAAGCGGAGGAA